This 1245-nucleotide ribosomal RNA is filed under the name metagenome. RNAcentral's name for it is "bacterial LSU rRNA". It matches the Rfam family "Bacterial large subunit ribosomal RNA", at positions 1564 to 2817 of the family's 2925-position model. The record is from RNAcentral.
UGAAUACGAGAUGCUACGGCGUCGAAGCAGUGUAUGUCAGACUUCCAAGAAAAGCUCGCAAUGUCAUAAAUAAAGAAUGCCUGUACCAUAACCGACACAGGUGGGUAGGUAGAGUAUACUAAGGGGCGCGAGAUAACUCUCUCUAAGGAACUCGGCAAAAUAACUCCGUAACCUCGGGAGAAGGAGUGCCUUCUUUAAGAAGGUUGCAAUAACAAGAUCCAAGCAACUGUUUAUCAAAAACACAGGUCUCCGCUAAGUCGUAAGACGAUGUAUGGGGGCUGACGCCUGCCCAGUGCCAGAAGGUUAAAGAAGCUGGUUAGCAAUAGCGAAGCUGGUGACUGAAGCCCUGGUGAACGGCGGCCGUAACUAUAACGGUCCUAAGGUAGCGAAAUUCCUUGUCGGGUAAGUUCCGACCCGCACGAAAGGCGUAAUGAUUUGGAUACUGUCUCGGAGAGGGACUCGGUGAAAUAGACUUGUCUGUGAAGAUGCGGACUACCUGCACCAGGACAGAAAGACCCUAUGAAGCUUUACUGUAACCUGAAAUUGAAAUUGGACUUUAUUUGCGCAGUAUAGGUGGGAGGCGUUGAAAGUAAUCUUGCGGGAUUAGUGGAGCCAUCAGUGAGAUACCACUCCUAUAAUGUUAGAUUUCUAACUUUGGAUCAUGAUCUGGUCAAAGAACAGUUUCAGGCGGGCAGUUUGACUGGGGCGGUCGCCUCCCAAAUGGUAACGGAGGCGUACAAAGGUUUCCUCUGAACGGGUAGAAAUCGUAUCUAGAGUGUAAAGGCAUAAGGAAGCUUGACUGUGAGACCUACAAGUCGAGCAGGGACGAAAGUCGGUCUUAGUGAUCUGACGGUGCUGAGUGGAAAGGCCGUCACUCAACGGAUAAAAGUUACUCUAAGGAUAACAGGCUGAUCUCCCCCAAGAGUUCACAUCGACGGGGAGGUUUGGCACCUCGAUGUCGGCUCAUCGCAUCCUGGGGCGGUAGUACGUCCCAAGGGUUGGGCUGUUCGCCCAUGAAAGCGGUACGCGAGCUGGGUUCAGAACGUCGUGAGACAGUUCGGUCCAUAUCCGGUGUAGGCGUUAGAAUAUUGAGAGGAGCCUUCUCUAGUACGAGAGGACCGAGAAGGACAUACCUCUGGUGUACCAGUUAUCGUGCCAACGGUAAACGCUGGGUAGCUAUGUAUGGAGAGGAUAACCGCUGAAAGCAUCUAAGUGGGAAGCCCACCUCAAGAUGAGUAUUCUCAU